Molecule: ribosomal RNA, 431 nt
Filed under: uncultured bacterium
Lineage: Bacteria
Description: partial 16S ribosomal RNA
Rfam family: Bacterial small subunit ribosomal RNA
Source: RNAcentral
AACGAACGCUGGCGGCAGGCUUAACACAUGCAAGUCGAGCGCCCCGCCAGGGGAGCGGCAGACUGGUGAGUAACGCGUGGGAACGUACCUUUUGGUUCGUCACAACUCCGUGAAACUGGAGCUAAUACCGGAUAAGCCCUAACGUGGUAAGACUUAUCGCCGAAAGAUCGGCCCGCGUCUGAUUAGCUAGUUGGUGAGGUGACGGCGCACCAAGGCGACGAUCAGUAGCUGGUCGGAGAGGAUGAUCAGACACACUGGGACUGGGACGCGGCCCAGAAUCCUACGGGAGGCAGGAGUGGGGAAUAUUGGAAAAUGGGCGCAAGCAAGAUCGAGCCAGGCCGCGUGAGUGAUGAAGGCCUUAGAGUAGUAAAGCUCUUUUGUCCGGGAAGAUAAUGACUGUACCGGAAGAAUAAGCCCCGGCUAACUUCGUG